CCUACGGGAGGCUGCAGUGAGGAAUAUUGGUCAAUGGACGAGAGCCUGAACCAGCCAAGCAGCGUGAAGGAUGACUGCCCUAUGGGUUGUAAACUUCUUUUAUAUGGGAAUAAAAUGUUCCACGUGUGGGAUUUUGUAUGUACCAUAUGAAUAAGGAUCGGCCAACUCCGUGCCAGCAGCCGCGGUAAUACGGAGGAUCCGAGCGUUAUCCGGAUUUAUUGGGUUUAAAGGGAGCGUAGGUGGAUGGUUAAGUCAGUUGUGAAAGUUUGCGGCUCAACCGUAAAAUUGCAGUUGACACUGGCAGUCUUGAGUACAGUAGAGGUGGGCGGAAGUCGUGGUGUAGCGGUGAAAUGCUUAGAUAUCACGAAGAACUCCGAUGGCGAAGGCAGCUCACUGGACUGCAACUGACACUGAGGCUCGAAAGUGUGGGUAUCAAACGGGAUUAGAUACCCGUGUAGUC
Molecule: ribosomal RNA, 460 nt
Filed under: uncultured bacterium
Lineage: Bacteria
Description: partial 16S ribosomal RNA
Rfam family: Bacterial small subunit ribosomal RNA
Source: RNAcentral